AAUGAAUGCUGGCGGCGUGCCUAACACAUGCAAGUCGAGCGAGAAAGUUUCUUCGGAAAUGAGUAAAGCGGCGAACGGUUGAGUAACGCGUGAGAAUCUACCUUUUAGUGAGGAAUACCUCCGAGAAAUCGGAGCUAAUACCGCAUAAGUCUGUAUAGCAAUAUAUAGAGAAAGAUGGCCUCUUUGCUAUCGCUGAAAGAUGAGCUUGCGUACUAUCAGUUAGUUGGUAGGGUAAUGGCCUACCAAGACUAUGACGGUUAGCCGGCCUGAGAGGGUGGUCGGCCAGACUGGAACUUAGAUACGGUCCAGACUCCUACGGGAGGCAGCAGUGGGGAAUCUUGCGCAAUGGGCGAAAGCCUGACGCAGCGACGCCGCGUGAAGGAUGAAGGCCUACGGGUUGUAAACUUCUGUUAAGUGGGAAGAAAGGCUCAAUUCUAAUAAAGUUGAGAGAUGACUGUACCAUUAGAGAAAGCACUGGCUAAACUCGUG
Molecule: ribosomal RNA, 489 nt
Filed under: uncultured bacterium
Lineage: Bacteria
Description: bacterial SSU rRNA
Rfam family: Bacterial small subunit ribosomal RNA
Source: RNAcentral